CGCGGCCUAUCAGCUUGUUGGUGGGGUAAUGGCCUACCAAGGCUUCGACGGGUAGCCGGCCUGAGAGGGUGACCGGCCACACUGGGACUGAGACACGGCCCAGACUCCUACGGGAGGCAGCAGUGGGGAAUAUUGGACAAUGGGCGGAAGCCUGAUCCAGCAACGCCGCGUGAGGGAUGACGGCCUUCGGGUUGUAAACCUCUUUCAGUACCGACGAAGCGCAAGUGACGGUAGGUACAGAAGAAGCACCGGCCAACUACGUGCCAGCAGCCGCGGUAAUACGUAGGGUGCGAGCGUUGUCCGGAAUUAUUGGGCGUAAAGGGCUCGUAGGCGGUUUGUCGCGUCGGGAGUGAAAACACCGGGCUUAACUCGGUGCUUGCUUUCGAUACGGGCAGACUAGAGGUAUGCAGGGGAGAACGGAAUUCCUGGUGUAGCGGUGAAAUGCGCAGAUAUCAGGAGGAACACCGGUGGCGAAGGCGGUUCUCUGGGCAUUACCUGACGCUGAGGAGCGAAAGUGUGGGGAGCGAACAGGAUUAGAUACCCUGGUAGUCCACACCGUAAACGUUGGGCGCUAGGUGUGGGGCCUAUUCCAUGGGUUCCGUGCCGCAGCUAACGCAUUAAGCGCCCCGCCUGGGGAGUACGG
Molecule: ribosomal RNA, 643 nt
Filed under: uncultured bacterium
Lineage: Bacteria
Description: bacterial SSU rRNA
Rfam family: Bacterial small subunit ribosomal RNA
Source: RNAcentral